RNAcentral lists this ribosomal RNA (540 nucleotides) under uncultured organism. RNAcentral describes it as "bacterial SSU rRNA". It matches the Rfam family "Bacterial small subunit ribosomal RNA", at positions 41 to 549 of the family's 1533-position model. The record is from RNAcentral.
GGCGUGCCUAAUACAUGCAAGUCGAACGAAGCUUUCUCUCACCGAAUGCUUGCAUUCACCGAAAGAAGCUUAGUGGCGAACGGGUGAGUAACACGUAGGCAACCUGCCCAAAAGAGGGGGAUAACACUUGGAAACAGGUGCUAAUACCGCAUAACCAUGAACACCGCAUGAUGUUCAUGUAAAAGACGGCUUUUGCUGUCACUUUUGGAUGGGCCUGCGGCGUAUUAACUUGUUGGUGGGGUAACGGCCUACCAAGGUGAUGAUACGUAGCCGAACUGAGAGGUUGAUCGGCCACAUUGGGACUGAGACACGGCCCAAACUCCUACGGGAGGCAGCAGUAGGGAAUCUUCCACAAUGGACGAAAGUCUGAUGGAGCAACGCCGCGUGAAUGAAGAAGGCCUUCGGGUCGUAAAAUUCUGUUGUCAGAGAAGAAUGUGCGUGAGAGUAACUGUUCACGUAUUGACGGUAUCUGACCAGAAAGCCACGGCUAACUACGUGCCAGCAGCCGCGGUAAUACGUAGGUGGCAAGCGUUGUCCGGA